RNAcentral lists this ribosomal RNA (399 nucleotides) under uncultured soil bacterium. RNAcentral describes it as "bacterial SSU rRNA". It matches the Rfam family "Bacterial small subunit ribosomal RNA", at positions 232 to 628 of the family's 1533-position model. The record is from RNAcentral.
UGCGUCCCAUUAGCUAGUUGGUAGGGUAACGGCCUACCAAUGCAACGAUGGGUAGCUGGUGUGAGAGCACGACCAGCCACACAGGCACUGAAACACGGGCCCGACUCCUACGGGAGGCACCAGUGAGGAAUAUUGGUCAAUGGACGCAAGUCUGAACCAGCCAUGCCGCGUGAAGGAUGAAGGCCUUCUGGGUUGUAAACUUCUUUUAUCUGGGAAGAAAACCACGGAUUCUACUGUGGCCGACGGUACCAGAGGAAUAAGCACCGGCUAACUCCGUGCCACCAGCCGCGGUAAUACGGAGGGUGCAAGCGUUAUCCGGAUUCACUGGGUGUACAGGGUGUGUAGGCGGGCAGUUAACUCAGUGGUGAAAUCUCCGGGCUCAUCCNGUAAACUGCCAUU